GACGAACGCUGGCGGCGUGCUUAACACAUGCAAGUCGAACGGAAAGGCCCUUCGGGGUACUCGAGUGGCGAACGGGUGAGUAACACGUGGGUGAUCUGCCCUGCACUUUGGGAUAAGCCUGGGAAACUGGGUCUAAUACCGAAUAGGACCACGCGCUUCAUGGUGUGUGGUGGAAAGCUUUUGCGGUGUGGGAUGGGCCCGCGGCCUAUCAGCUUGUUGGUGGGGUAAUGGCCUACCAAGGCGACGACGGGUAGCCGGCCUGAGAGGGUGACCGGCCACACUGGGACUGAGAUACGGCCCAGACUCCUACGGGAGGCAGCAGUGGGGAAUAUUGCACAAUGGGCGCAAGCCUGAUGCAGCGACGCCGCGUGAGGGAUGACGGCCUUCGGGUUGUAAACCUCUUUCAAUAGGGACGAAGCGCAAGUGACGGUACCUAUAGAAGAAGCACCGGCCAACUACGUG
This 462-nucleotide ribosomal RNA is filed under the name uncultured bacterium. RNAcentral's name for it is "partial 16S ribosomal RNA". It matches the Rfam family "Bacterial small subunit ribosomal RNA", at positions 28 to 507 of the family's 1533-position model. The record is from RNAcentral.